Long non-coding RNA from Canis lupus familiaris (dog), 3436 nucleotides. RefSeq lists it as uncharacterized. NCBI's taxonomy places the organism in Eukaryota, Metazoa, Chordata, Mammalia, Carnivora, Canidae. The transcript has 3 exons. The record is from RefSeq and is a predicted model, not a curated record.
AGGGAAUAGAGCCAUAAAAAGCCUGAACUGAAGGCCGCUUUUAUAAGGUUUAUAUUGCUCGUCCUCCCAUCUGUCUGGUAGGAAGCAGAACAUGGCAUUUAAAAGACUUCUCCUAAUCAGAUAAUUAUAAGGAGAGAUUUCUCUUUUUUAAGGAGAGCAUUGGAAUAUAAAGAAAUUCCCGGGGAGGUGAUCUUUUUGAGGCUUUAUCUUUGCACACUGCCUUUGAAAACAGCCACCUAGAAGCCGGUGGCCCUGGUCCCCUCCCUAGGUCUCGUGAAGCCAUUCAUAGCGACACAGACCUCUGACAGCUGGCCUCUGGAUACCAGAGCAGGGGCACAACUUGAUGCUGUUCGAGUUGAUUUCUACAAUCUCCAAGCAUGCAAUACGAGCACUCACGGCCCCCAUGCGCUGAUGGCUGUCCUUGUCGGAAAGCAGCCGCAGCUUUGGGGAGUCACUGGCCGCCAGAACUUUUGUAAUUCUGAUGAGCAAAGGGGUCAGCUGCUCAGAAGGAAAAUCUCUCUGUGGCAGCCCCAGGCAGCCUCCGCAGCUGGAUCUCAAAGGGGCUCAGGAUCGUCGCCUGCUCCCCAGCGACAGCGACAGCUCGCCCCUGUUUUCUGAGGACAGUGACUCCACUGCCAAAUCGACAGGAUUCCUGCAGAUGCCGGACGCUCGGAAAUGACCACGUGGCCUUGCCAGGCCGGCUUGUUAGAAAAGCCCAGCUUCCUCCUUAUCUUGUCUGCUCAGACAAAGAGCAGAACCUAAUCGAGAGAAGAGAACCCCAAUUAGCAAAGCCCAGAGACGCGGCCCCCCACCCCCUGCCCCGCACCCACUUGCAGGGGUUCAGCUCCACCCUCCCUCUCUUCUGGCUUAUCGGGCUGGCGGUGUGACCGGGUUAAUGAGAAGAGCCCAGCUGGGCGGUGGCAGGAACGGUCAUCCGGACAGAGGCCACGGGGACAGACGCAAACCAUGGCUUCUUGGGCCCCUCUGGAACCGGCUGACACCAACUGAAACUCGGCAAAACACACGCUUCAUUCCUCCUGUUCUUAGGUCACAGCUUGAGUGUGAGUGCUCCCGAGCAAACCCGACUUGGAAAAGUGACUUCUGAAGCCUCUCCCUUGUCUUCUCUGGCAGAAAGCUGCUGCGAGCCCAGGGGAAGGCAGCUUCCUUUCGUUCUCUCCUCCCACGGUGUGCCCUUCGAGUGUCCCCACUAAUGCAGCACAGAGGACAGCAGGCACGGGUGGCAUGUGGACUGGUGCCCCGGGCGCCGGCUGACCGUCGGGCAUAACCACACUCCAGGCAGGGCCCGGGAAGGGCAUCCCAGGGCAGUGUGGAUGCUCCAGUGCAGACGUGCUGGUGCAGAGGGUCCUGGAAACACGUGUUGUUUGCAACAGCAGCUUUAUCCUGAUCGUCUCCUCUCUUCGGCGACACCCACGUUCACUAUCGUCACCUCCACCACAAGGGAGCAGCGGGGAAGGGAGAGGCGGCCACAGUCGCAGGAGAGGCUGCUCUGUCCCCAGUGAUAAUCACACAGCUCACAGCCGGCCUCGGGGAGGCGAUGCUGGAUGCCAGGCGCCUUGCACUGCUGCGGCAGCUUACAGGAAAAGCCAAUCUGACCACCCCCCUCCCGCCCGACAACCCAGGAGGCAGACUCACAUUGCCUUCAUUUUGUGGAGGCAGAGAGAAGGUCAGCCUCCGAAGACCAGAGGGAUGGACAGUGGCAAGUUCACAAGGUCAGGAGCCAAAGCCAGCAAGAGCUUGGAUGUAGCUCAGUGCUGUGAUUUUAGGGAUAAAGCUUGGGUCACACCACCCAGAGUUGAGCUCUAGUCCAUCUCCUGGGCAUAUUAACUUGACCAUCUUGAGCCUCCAAAUGCUCACCUGCCAAGUGGAGUAGUGAUGGUCCCACCUCAUGGAGUUGCUCGGGAUGGCAUAGAAUAGGGCAGGAAGAGGGCACCUCACAUCUCCAGCACUUAGCAGACACUAGGUGUUAGUCGAGGACCUCAGCCCCACAACCAGGCCCCCUCUCCACUCACAAGGUGAGCGAGGCCGAGAGGCUCGCUUCGGGAAUCCACCUGGGAAUUGGACCAUGUUCUCAAACAUGGGAUAGCAGAGCCUUUGGGGGCAGCCAGUGUGGGCCCCUGCAUCUGCCCACGGAAGCGGGGCUGGCAACAGAUAUCUUCAGUGCCCUCAGGGAGGGUGGGCACAGUGGCCCGGGCCCCAGCCCUCACAGGGAGGGAUGGUGUGGAGGCCCCAGGCCUGGCCUCGGUGGUCACAUGACAUGUCAUCACAAGACGGCACAGGAGCCCAGCAGGCUCGCCGGCCACCCACCAGCCUCUUGGCCACCCCGGCCGCCCUCUGGUUUCUGUUGCAUCUGUUUGGACAACAACCCCCUGCGGGAGCCCUCUUGCUCUACUGUCUUCAAAGUCCACCAGCCCUCACCCUUCAAACAAUGUGUUGACACUUGCACAGAGCCACAGGAACAAUAAACAGCCCCCGCCGCUCCAGCCCGGGGGCCUUCCCACCCGCAGAGGCUGGGCGGCAAGGCUGGAGGGGGCUUGGGCGUCGGGCAGACCAGGUUCAAACCCCACGUCUGCCUCCUGAGCUGGGCUUGCGCAGGCAAGUAGCUUGCCCUCUCUGGAUCCCAGUUUCCCUGGCCAGAAAAGGGAAGCAGAGAUGGGCAAAGAGCUGGUUUGUACUGAGUAUCAAUUAUUGCAUCGCCAUUUAAAUCAGACUAUGGAAGGAAAACACCUGAAUGUGUGGAGAGCAGGAACUCCUUCUUAAGAAACAAGAUGCUGCCCCGUGACUGCAAAGGCUAGCGGGAAGGUCGACGGUGGUCUGGCGUGGUGGAGUCGGAGGAGCGCUGCCGCAGGACACCUGGGCUUGGCUCGGUUCUGUUUGGUGCCAGGCACCUGCUACAUGACCGGGGACAAGCUGCUCCUCAUUUCUGGGUCCAUUCCCCCCACUGUAUGAGUUGAUCCCCAUGUUUCCUUCCUACCGUCUUCCUCCAACUACCAAAUAGAACCUUGUACCCCUGAAACAUCACCUCAACACAAGCACACUGUUUUCAGCCACCCCGGACACCCCUACAGUGCUGGCAUCUGUAAAGAAAAUGAUGCUGAAAUUUUGCAAACAUAAGAAACCUGAACAUGGUAGGAUUGUGGGUGAUUCUUUUCUAUAAUGUAUCUCUCUCUCUCUCUCUUUUUUUUUUUUUACUUAAGUUUUAAUUUUAAUUCCAGUAUAGUUACCAUGCGGUGUGAUACUUGUUUCAGAUGUACAUAGUGAUUCAGCACUUCCAUGCAUCACCCGGCGCUCCUCACGACACGUGCUCUCCUUCAUCCUCAUCACCUGUUUUCUCCAUCCCCAGCCACCUCCCCGCUGGUGACCACUAGUGUGUUCUCUACAGUUAAAAGGCUGCUUUUUUCUUUCUUUCUUUUUUUCU